GCGUCUUCUGACUCUAUCCUCACCUGUUAGAGAACCAAAAAAAAAAAAAAAAACGCCGUCUCGUGACUCUCCCGUGACGCCUCCUGCAUUUUUCCGACGCCGGUGCUCCAUCCCGUCGCUUCUCGUCGACGCUGCUGCCGGAGCGCCAUCGCCAUCGCAUCUCCUCGGUGCUCCUUCCUUUCCCGUCGAUUUCUUCUUCGUUGCUCGACGUUCCUGCCUUCUCUCGACGUUCCUUCCUUCUCCGACGUCCGUUCCUUCUCCACAAGGCGAUUCCUCCGUCGGUCGAUUGUCUCCGGGAGCACACUUCCUCCGACAUUCUUCUCUUUGGUCGAUUUCUUCUCCAAAAAGGUGAAACCCUAGAUUUAUUUUGUUAUCUAUCUCAUGUAUUUUUUUUUUCUGAAAUGGUAAGUUUCAGGUUUGUAUACUGAAUUUCAUCUAUGACAACAAAAUUGAGGUGAAUAUUGCUCAACUAUCUCUAUUAUCAAAUUUUAAUGUAAUUGGAGCUUUAGAAUGUUAUGGGUACCAGCAUGUUGUUUAGGUUCUUCAAGUCUUUAAACUUCAAGGCUUUUCGGGGACAAUGUGUCUGUAAGAAAAAAGCUUGAAGGGUUUGCCAGCGUUUUUUUGGAUAUUGGCAAACGAUAUAUGUGUGAGGAUAGCAAAGUUAAAACCAAGAUUCUGUUUUUUGGGCUUCUCUUUGCUGCUUCAAAUAACUACACCAAAGAAUACUUGUAGAACUGUCCAUCUAUCCAGGAACAAUUGACGGCAUUUGAUUCAAAACUCAAAUUGAAGAACACAGGUCGGCCUUUAUUGACUCGACUUAACUCACCCGGUAAAUUGCCGAGUAAUCCACCAAAUAAUUCUUAGUUUUAUGUUUGUAAACACUUAGUUAAACAUUUGUGGUUGACACUUUUAAUGUGUAUUAUUAGAUACAUUUAAUGUAGUAUUAGACAAUGUUAGUAAUAUGUAUUUGUAUUUGAUAUUUUUUUAGUUUUAUUAGUUUUAUUGUAAUGUUAUUUGUUUUGUGGUUGAA
This is a non-coding RNA of Lactuca sativa (garden lettuce), 1030 nucleotides long. The record is from RefSeq and is a predicted model, not a curated record. Lineage: Eukaryota; Viridiplantae; Streptophyta; Magnoliopsida; Asterales; Asteraceae.